UACAGGUUUGGUCCCAGCCUUUCUAUUAGUUGUUAGUAAAACUACACAUGCAAGUAUCCGCAUCCCGGUGAAAAUGCCCUCUAAAUCAUUUAAUGAUAAAAAGGAGCAGGUAUCAAGCGCACUAAUAAGUAGCUCAUAACGCCUUGCUUAGCCACACCCCCACGGGAAACAGCAGUGAUAAAAAUUAAGCAAUGAACGAAAGUUCGACUAAGUUAUACUUUUAAGGGUUGGUAAAUUUCGUGCCAGCCACCGCGGUCAUACGAUUAACCCUAAUUAAUAGACAUACGGCGUAAAGCGUGUUUAAGAUCACCUAAAAAUAAAGUCAAGCUCUAGCUAAACUGUAAAAAGUCUUAGCUACCGUAAGACCUACCACGAAAGUGACUUUAAAUAAUCUGAAUACACGACAGCUAAGACCCAAACUGGGAUUAGAUACCCCACUAUGCUUAGCCUUAAACCUAAAAAGUUAUUAUAACAAAACUUCUCGCCAGAGUACUACUAGCCAAAGCUUAAAACUCAAAGGACUUGGCGGUGCUUCAUAUCCAUCUAGAGGAGCCUGUUCUGUAAUCGAUAAACCCCGAUAAACCUCACCAACCCUUGCCAACUCAGCCUAUAUACCGCCAUCUUCAGCAAACCCUGAAAAGGAGAUAUAGUAAGCUCAACUAUUUUGCAUAAAAACGUUAGGUCAAGGUGUAGCUUAUGGGUUGGAAAGAAAUGGGCUACAUUUCCUAAGUAUAGGAUAUAAUAUCUACGAAAGUUCUUGUGAAAUCAAGAACUAAAGGUGGAUUUAGCAGUAAAUUAAGAAUAGAGUGCUUAAUUGAAUAAGGCCAUGAAGCACGCACACACCGCCCGUCACCCUCCUCAAAUACCAAGGAUAGACCCUAAACAUAUAACCUAAAUAUCCUAAAUACUAGAGGAGAUAAGUCGUAACAAGGUAAGCGUACUGGAAAGUGCGCUUGGACAAUU
This 963-nucleotide non-coding RNA is filed under the name Pteronotus davyi (Davy's naked-backed bat). RNAcentral's name for it is "12S ribosomal RNA". It matches the Rfam family "Bacterial small subunit ribosomal RNA". Lineage: Eukaryota; Metazoa; Chordata; Mammalia; Chiroptera; Mormoopidae. The record is from RNAcentral.